This 253-nucleotide ribosomal RNA is filed under the name uncultured bacterium. Its description in RNAcentral is "partial 16S ribosomal RNA". It matches the Rfam family "Bacterial small subunit ribosomal RNA", at positions 524 to 776 of the family's 1533-position model. The record is from RNAcentral.
UACGGGGGGGGCAAGCGUUGUUCGGAAUUACUGGGCGUAAAGGGUUCGUAGGUGGCCCGCUAAUUCAGACGUGAAAUCCCUCAGCUCAACUGGGGAACUGCGUCUGAGACUGGCGGGCUUGAGUGCAGGAGAGGAACGCGGAAUUCCAGGUGUAGCGGUGAAAUGCGUAGAUAUCUGGAGGAACACCGGUGGCGAAGGCGGCGUUCUGGACUGUUACUGACACUGAGGAACGAAAGCCAGGGGAGCAAACGGG